GUACACAGACUGAAUGUAAAUAUAAGUCUCUGUAAAUCCAGUCUCUGACAGCAGGUGGCGGUUAUAGAAAAGCUGACUUACAGCUGUUUCCGUAAACUCCGUGGACAAAGCAGUAUUGCGAUUAAGAACACUUCCUUUAGGUAUUACACGGAGCGAAGAUGAAAACAAAAUGCCAUGGAAUCGUUUCUGAAGACAGCCAGAACCUUCAGAGGAAGGAUGCUGGAGAUGCAGAGAAACGUUUAACAGUCUUUAAUACUGGAAUCAUGGGGGAAAAUCCACCACAGGAACACAGGAAACACACAACAUCCAACAAGUAGACCCGACAAGGGAGAAACACACAGACAGGAACUUAAAUACACAGGAUAAUUACUUAAACGCAGGUGCAGGGAAUGAACUAAUCAGACUCAACGAGGACAGGAACAUGACCAAACAAGAGCGCCCCCAAGAGUCUUGGGCGCCCAAACUCCCGGAUCCGCCAUGGUCGUCCAAGCCUACUGCUCCGUCCUGGGCGCCCAAGCUCCCUGCUCCUCCUAGGCCUCCCAAGCUCCCUGCUCCGCCAUGGCUCCUCAAGCUCCCUGCUCCUCCUAGGCCUCCCGAGUCCCUGGAUCCUCCAUGGCCUUCCGAGCCUCCUGACCCGCCAUGGCCCUCGGAGUCCCCUGACCCGCCAUGGUCACUAAGAGUCUCCUGUUCCGCCGUGGAUGCCUCCUUAGUGUCCCGGUCCUGCACCGGUAUCCAGGGCGCCGGCCCCCCCCUCCCCGGUUGUACUGUUGCGGCGCGGGACGCGCCUACCGGGAGGGGGAGGUACUGUAACGUGUCUGCCUGUCCUAGUCCCCGUUUUCCUUAUUUGGUUUAGUUCCUGUCCUCAUUAAUUAUCGUUUCAUU
RNA transcript from Onychostoma macrolepis, 882 nucleotides. RefSeq lists it as uncharacterized. The transcript has 3 exons. NCBI's taxonomy places the organism in Eukaryota, Metazoa, Chordata, Actinopteri, Cypriniformes, Cyprinidae. The record is from RefSeq and is a predicted model, not a curated record.